UAGUUUUUGGUGUAAAGCACGAUAAAUUUUGAUUUUAUAAGUAAUAAUUAAUUUUAUUAAAACUAUUAU
This 69-nucleotide transfer RNA is filed under the name Ixodes holocyclus (paralysis tick). RNAcentral describes it as "tRNA-Gln". Lineage: Eukaryota; Metazoa; Arthropoda; Arachnida; Ixodida; Ixodidae. The record is from RNAcentral.